Molecule: non-coding RNA, 801 nt
Organism: Pogona vitticeps (central bearded dragon)
Lineage: Eukaryota; Metazoa; Chordata; Lepidosauria; Squamata; Agamidae
Source: RefSeq, a predicted model, not a curated record
AGGGGUGUGGACCGUGGGGAAAGGAAGGGGUUAAAACGGGCUCGUAGGUAGAAGCUGGUGCUCCUCCUCCUGCUUUUCUUCUUCUUCUCGGCCUACCUUGGCAACCGUCUCCUAGGGAAACUGGGAAAGAAGGGUGAGGCUCAGCUGCACCUCUGCUAUCUCAGGGCGGAAUCUUCUGGGAAGACAGUUUACCUCUCCCAGAGUUCAAGAUUACAUUCUCCAAAGGUUCCAGUUCGAGCGAGAGAGACUGAAUAAGAAACUAGGGCCAACUCGCAGGCAAGCCGGGCCCACAUUCCCUGAGUCACACAAAGACGGAGAGCCACUGAUGCCGGCAAGCCCAUGAGCAUAACUAGCAUCCCCAUGGCAACGGCAGAUGAUGGAUUCUCAACGUGACAUCACAAGUGGCAAGCGGCGCGCCGGCAAUAUUUCCUAACAGGAGUGAUCGGUGCCUAUUACAGCUGCUGCCAGAGCUCAAGAAAAGCGGUGGAUCGGCAAAAGCUGGCAGAUUUCUACAGAGGUGCCGGGAGGACGAGAAUAAAGCCAGGGAAAGCAGCAUUUUUUAAAAGCUGGAAUGCCAGAACGGAUAUCGCUCUUCUAACGCACACGGCUUCCAUCUACAAAGUCAAGCAUCGGGGAAAGAGAAAGAUGGUGAAACGUCUUGAUCCGGCCGUUUUCAGACCUUUUACCUCUUCCAUCCUGCUGCGGAUGCAAAACAAACUUGUUUGAAUUGCACCGUAGCCUUUUUUAUGUGGAGAAGUAAGGCGUGUUGCCUGGAGAAUUUGUACCUUCGGCAAAGCUUAG